UCUUCAAAAAGAACAUACUAUAUGAAAAUUUUGAUCACAAUCAAUUGUUUAUGAUGUUUUGUGCAUUGAACGAUCACGUCACUUUAAAUCCUUUUUUUCUCACGAUGUAGAAGAAUGUGUUGCACGCACCGCGAAUACAAUUUCGCUUCUGCGACUGCAAAAAUGUUUUCCGUUCUGCUCUUUGCGAUGAAAUCUCGUAGACUUUCACAUCCGUAUGCGCGAACUUCGUGGCCUAAUCAUCGUAUUCUAAAUCCCAUGACGGAUGAUGCGAGUGAAACAAAAGCAGAGUGAACAUAUGUAUAUUACUGAAGGAUGCACAUUUCAAAAUGACAACAAAAAUAAAAUGACGCUAAAAGGAAAGCACAUUUCGUUAGAAUUUCAGAGAUCCAGAAUGUAUACCUAGGGUUAAUUCUUCAGUACGUGCAAAUUUUUCGUACGUGCAAAAAUUCUUGAAUUUCGAAUACAUCUAAACAUUGUAAAUCUUCAAAUUAUUGAAUUAAAAAAUUCCUUAUGAUCUUUUGAUCAUCCUAGAUUUUAAAA
Wasmannia auropunctata (little fire ant) is the source of this 540-nucleotide long non-coding RNA. RefSeq lists it as uncharacterized. The record is from RefSeq and is a predicted model, not a curated record. The transcript is spliced from 2 exons. Lineage: Eukaryota; Metazoa; Arthropoda; Insecta; Hymenoptera; Formicidae.